CCUACGGGGCGCUGCAGUCGAGAAUCUUCCGCAAUGGACGAAAGUCUGACGGAGCGACGCCGCGUGGUGGAUGAAGUCCUUAGGGACGUAAACACCUUUUAUGAAGGAGGAAAUUUUUGCCGUUACUUCAUGAAUAAGGGGCUCCCAACUCUGUGCCAGCCGGAGCGUUAAUACAGAGGCCUCAAGCGUUAUCCGGAUUCACUGGGCGUAAAGGGUGCGUAGGCGGUUAUAUCAGUCGGGUGUUAAAUCCUUGGGCUCAACCCAAGAAUCGCAUUCGAAAAAGUAGAACUAGAAGAAGGCAGAGGUAAGCAGAACUCUCGGUGUAGGGGUGAAGUCCGUUGAUAUCGAGGGGAAUACCAAAUGCGAAGGCAGCUUACUGGGACUUUCUUGACGCUGAGGCAAGAAAGCGUGGGUAGCGAAUGGGAUUAGAUACCCUAGUAGUC
This 443-nucleotide ribosomal RNA is filed under the name uncultured bacterium. RNAcentral describes it as "bacterial SSU rRNA". It matches the Rfam family "Bacterial small subunit ribosomal RNA", at positions 338 to 795 of the family's 1533-position model. The record is from RNAcentral.